This 465-nucleotide ribosomal RNA is filed under the name Vreelandella stevensii. RNAcentral describes it as "partial 16S ribosomal RNA". It matches the Rfam family "Bacterial small subunit ribosomal RNA", at positions 338 to 795 of the family's 1533-position model. The record is from RNAcentral. Lineage: Bacteria; Pseudomonadati; Pseudomonadota; Gammaproteobacteria; Oceanospirillales; Halomonadaceae.
CCUACGGGAGGCUGCAGUGGGGAAUAUUGGACAAUGGGCGAAAGCCUGAUCCAGCCAUGCCGCGUGUGUGAAGAAGGCCUUCGGGUUGUAAAGCACUUUCAGUGGGGAAGAAAGCCUUGGGGCUAAUACCCUCGAGGAAGGACAUCACCAACAGAAGAAGCACCGGCUAACUCCGUGCCAGCAGCCGCGGUAAUACGGAGGGUGCGAGCGUUAAUCGGAAUUACUGGGCGUAAAGCGCGCGUAGGCGGUCUGAUAAGCCGGUUGUGAAAGCCCCGGGCUCAACCUGGGAACGGCAUCCGGAACUGUCAGGCUAGAGUGCAGGAGAGGAAGGUAGAAUUCCCGGUGUAGCGGUGAAAUGCGUAGAGAUCGGGAGGAAUACCAGUGGCGAAGGCGGCCUUCUGGACUGACACUGACGCUGAGGUGCGAAAGCGUGGGUAGCAAACAGGAUUAGAUACCCGGGUAGUC